GUGCCAGCCGCCGCGGUAAUACCGGCAGCUCAAGUGAUGGCCGAUCUUAUUGGGCCUAAAGCGUCCGUAGCUGGCUGCGCAAGUCCGUCGGGAAAUCCACUCGCCCAACGAGUGGGCGUCCGGCGGAACCUGUGUGGCUUGGGACCGGAAGGCGCGACGGGUACGUCCGGGGUAGGAGUGAAAUCCCGUAAUCCUGGACGGACCGCCGAUGGCGAAAGCACGUCGCGAAAACGGAUCCGACAGUGAGGGACGAAAGCUAGGGUCUCGAACCGGAUUAGAAACCCUAGUAGUCC
This 293-nucleotide ribosomal RNA is filed under the name uncultured bacterium. RNAcentral describes it as "partial 16S ribosomal RNA". It matches the Rfam family "Archaeal small subunit ribosomal RNA", at positions 455 to 747 of the family's 1478-position model. The record is from RNAcentral.